This 253-nucleotide ribosomal RNA is filed under the name uncultured bacterium. RNAcentral's name for it is "partial 16S ribosomal RNA". It matches the Rfam family "Bacterial small subunit ribosomal RNA", at positions 524 to 776 of the family's 1533-position model. The record is from RNAcentral.
UACGUAGGGGGCAAGCGUUGUCCGGAAUCAUUGGGCGUAAAGAGCGUGUAGGCGGCCCGAUAAGUCCGCUGUGAAAGUCCAGGGCUCAACCCUGGAAUGCCGGUGGAUACUGUCGGGCUCGAAUCCGGAAGAGGUGAGUGGAAUUCCUGGUGUAGCGGUGGAAUGCGCAGAUAUCAGGAGGAACACCAAUAGCGAAGGCAGCUCGCUGGGACGUUACUGACACUGAGGAGCGAAAGCAUGGGGAGCGAACAGG